This 1063-nucleotide long non-coding RNA is filed under the name Mustela putorius furo (domestic ferret). RNAcentral describes it as "lncRNA (ENSMPUG00000024223.1)". Lineage: Eukaryota; Metazoa; Chordata; Mammalia; Carnivora; Mustelidae. The record is from RNAcentral.
UUCAACUCUUACCGUAUUCUAGGCACUUCAACAAGUCUAUUACAUAAAUUAUACAGCAGUGGCUGAGACUGUGGAUUUUGAGCUUCCCUGCCCGGGUUUGAGACUGCCCUCCACCAGCGAAAUGUACUAAUGCACAUACAAUGCUUACAGCCCUGCCUGCUCCAUAACAAACACUCAAAAAAGGGGCUAGGUGGACGUUACUGUGCACAGGGGGAAGAGGUGUUCCUGAAACGUCCCAAGCUACCUUCUCGUGUUCCUGUUGUAUCAGAGAAACCAUCAGCUGAAGAGAGGCACCACCACUGCCAUGCUGAAAAGAGCGCUGGGAUACUGUUUGUUCCCGACCUAACUUGGGUUCGUAUGGAGAGGGAAGCACAAAGUCCCAUACAGGUGCUGGGGAUCCAUCCAGGCCCAUCUGGGGGCAAAGGAAGCCAGGCACACUGGGCCCCCUCACAUGGCUCCCUGGGCUGUGGUCCCUAGAGAGUGGCCUCCGGGCUGGACCUGGGCUGAAGCUCCAUCUGUCCAGGCAGACCCAGGGACAUCCGCGAGAGCGGUCGUAGGCUACUUCUGGUCAGAGUUGGUGGUCCCUGAAGCCUGAGCAAAGAGCCUUAGAUGUCUCAGGGAGACAAGUGGUCCCAGCUACAAGGACCUUGCAGACCGUGGGGGAGCAAUGGUGGCUGACCCCAGGAGAAGGAGGUGACAUUGGGUCUGAAGUUCCUGAAAGGACCAAGAGCAAAAGGAUUGUGGGUCACUGGGAACUGAGGGGCCACAGUGCCUGAAGAGAGUCUCACUGAUCUGGUUUUCCCAGUGGCGGGGCAGGGAGAGAAGUAAAGCAAAAGACCGUGCUGAAGGCCGGGGAGCUGCUGCUAACAGGGGCUAGAAGCACAUGGAGGAGCACGUGCGGCCUCCAGCACGGACACCCAAGGAGACUAUGCUCUCAUCAUGACCCUGCGGCCAAGGUGCUUCCAGGGGCUUCUGCCGGGGAUUUGCAACAAGGACCACUGACACACAGGAGUCCAUUCCUCCCAGUCACCCCACUGUACAUCCAGGCCCUGGGGACACAGCG